This 80-nucleotide non-coding RNA is filed under the name Legionella shakespearei DSM 23087. RNAcentral's name for it is "Legionella RNA 69". It matches the Rfam family "Legionella RNA 69". Lineage: Bacteria; Pseudomonadati; Pseudomonadota; Gammaproteobacteria; Legionellales; Legionellaceae. The record is from Rfam by way of RNAcentral.
AGACGAGGCUACCGCCUCUCCUCAGCCCGAACGGCAUCGAAGUAACGACUGGAUUGAUUAAACUAGAUAAAAAACUGUAG